RNAcentral lists this non-coding RNA (99 nucleotides) under Loigolactobacillus coryniformis. RNAcentral describes it as "Lactobacillus coryniformis Guanine sequence". It matches the Rfam family "Purine riboswitch aptamer". From Rfam's summary of the family: Riboswitches are metabolite binding domains within certain messenger RNAs that serve as precision sensors for their corresponding targets. Allosteric rearrangement of mRNA structure is mediated by ligand binding, and this results in modulation of gene expression. Lineage: Bacteria; Bacillati; Bacillota; Bacilli; Lactobacillales; Lactobacillaceae. The record is from RNAcentral. RNAcentral also lists the same sequence under 1 other name.
UGCUUUUUCUAUCACUCUGCUUAUAUAAUGCCAUAAUCUGGUUGGCGAGUUUCUACCCUGAACCGUAAAUUCGGGACUAUAAGCAAAAAAGUGGUCGUA